Engraulis encrasicolus (European anchovy) is the source of this 715-nucleotide long non-coding RNA. RefSeq lists it as uncharacterized. The transcript has 3 exons. The record is from RefSeq and is a predicted model, not a curated record. Lineage: Eukaryota; Metazoa; Chordata; Actinopteri; Clupeiformes; Engraulidae.
UGCUUGUGUAUGGGUGCGCGUUUGAAUGGGUGCGUCGUGUGUAGAACUAGAUGCUGCAGUUUGCAGCUGGUUUGAUUCAUGUCGUGGGUCACUUACCAAUGUAUGUAGGCCUAAUUGGCUAUGACCUUUGAAAUAGUUGAAAGUAAAUCCCAGUAGUAUCUAGUGAAACACACAUGCAAACGCCCUUCUGUCCCUCAUUCCCUCAAACUCGAUCUUCUACAUUUGUUGUGUAAAAAGGACAUAGCAAGUUUUUUGUAUCAAUGAUCACUUUAGGAUAUUCCAGUGCAUUUACAUUCAAUAUAUACUGUACCUUGAGUGAGGUAGAAAUGCAUAUUGUUGCAAAUAUAAAUACUGUUAAUUUGUUAUUUUUUGUAAUUAAUAAUUUACUGAAUUUCUUUGUAGAAUAUGUUACUAUUAUUUGGGUUUUUGUUCUCUGCAUAACUGUCUCUUUCACCUAUAUUAAUUCCUCAGCAUUCAAGAUGUUUGUAGGGUCCUCACCUCAGCUACCUCUCACAAGGUGCCCCUGAAAAAGAAAUUCAAGACGUUUGGGUCCUCAGCUCAACUGACCAAGACCUUUGCUCAUUGAAGGCAUGAAGUAAUUUGUGAUGCCCCCACGAUUGCAGUUUUUAAAUCCAGAUGGCUUGCUCUUUUUAACAUGUGCGAGAGCUGGAUGGUCUUUCAACAACACUGCUCCGGGUCUUCAGCAAGAAAGGAG